Molecule: ribosomal RNA, 892 nt
Filed under: uncultured Lactococcus sp.
Lineage: Bacteria; Bacillati; Bacillota; Bacilli; Lactobacillales; Streptococcaceae
Description: bacterial SSU rRNA
Rfam family: Bacterial small subunit ribosomal RNA
Source: RNAcentral
GGCGUGCCUAAUACAUGCAAGUUGAGCGCUGAAGGUUGGUACUUGUACCGACUGGAUGAGCAGCGAACGGGUGAGUAACGCGUGGGGAAUCUGCCUUUGAGCGGGGGACAACAUUUGGAAACGAAUGCUAAUACCGCAUAAAAACUUUAAACACAAGUUUUAAGUUUGAAAGAUGCAAUUGCAUCACUCAAAGAUGAUCCCGCGUUGUAUUAGCUAGUUGGUGAGGUAAAGGCUCACCAAGGCGAUGAUACAUAGCCGACCUGAGAGGGUGAUCGGCCACAUUGGGACUGAGACACGGCCCAAACUCCUACGGGAGGCAGCAGUAGGGAAUCUUCGGCAAUGGACGAAAGUCUGACCGAGCAACGCCGCGUGAGUGAAGAAGGUUUUCGGAUCGUAAAACUCUGUUGGUAGAGAAGAACGUUGGUGAGAGUGGAAAGCUCAUCAAGUGACGGUAACUACCCAGAAAGGGACGGCUAACUACGUGCCAGCAGCCGCGGUAAUACGUAGGUCCCGAGCGUUGUCCGGAUUUAUUGGGCGUAAAGCGAGCGCAGGUGGUUUAUUAAGUCUGGUGUAAAAGGCAGUGGCUCAACCAUUGUAUGCAUUGGAAACUGGUAGACUUGAGUGCAGGAGAGGAGAGUGGAAUUCCAUGUGUAGCGGUGAAAUGCGUAGAUAUAUGGAGGAACACCGGUGGCGAAAGCGGCUCUCUGGCCUGUAACUGACACUGAGGCUCGAAAGCGUGGGGAGCAAACAGGAUUAGAUACCCUGGUAGUCCACGCCGUAAACGAUGAGUGCUAGAUGUAGGGAGCUAUAAGUUCUCUGUAUCGCAGCUAACGCAAUAAGCACUCCGCCUGGGGAGUACGACCGCAAGGUUGAAACUCAAAGGAAUUGACGG